GGCCCAUUCGACUAGCGGUUAGGUCGUAAGUUUCUCACACUUAAAACAGCGGUUCGAUUCCGCUAUGGGCUA
This 72-nucleotide transfer RNA is filed under the name Bacteroidales bacterium. RNAcentral describes it as "tRNA-Glu". It matches the Rfam family "tRNA". From Rfam's summary of the family: Transfer RNA (tRNA) molecules are approximately 80 nucleotides in length. Their secondary structure includes four short double-helical elements and three loops (D, anti-codon, and T loops). The record is from RNAcentral. Lineage: Bacteria; Pseudomonadati; Bacteroidota; Bacteroidia; Bacteroidales. RNAcentral also lists the same sequence under 3 other names.